This is a long non-coding RNA of Phyllopteryx taeniolatus (common seadragon), 499 nucleotides long. RefSeq lists it as uncharacterized. The transcript is spliced from 3 exons. The record is from RefSeq and is a predicted model, not a curated record. Lineage: Eukaryota; Metazoa; Chordata; Actinopteri; Syngnathiformes; Syngnathidae.
CUGGUCCCUCACCUAGGACCUGUUUGACAUGGGUGACCCUACCAGCGGCGCGAAGCCCCAGACAACUUAGCUCCUAGGAUCAUUGGGACACAGAAACCCUUCCACCACGAUAAGGUGACAGCUCAUGGAGAGGUCCGGCCCGGCCCGAUAGGCUGGAAGACCACAGAGAAAAGCGGGCAGCCCCUCCCCACCCUACAGCUAAUCCCCCCUCAAACCGACCAUCCCCCAGCGACCAAAACAGGGCACAGAAGGCGGGCCUGUCCAAAGCAGAAGGCGCUGACACCCACCAUGAGCCUCAAGUCAGCCGAGGACCCUUUGAAUGCAUCGCUCUGCACAUUGUGGGGAAAAUGGGAGAGAGAGCCUUGAGGUGGAGCAAGAGGACAUGUUCCAGGGCACCGGCUUCUCUUCCUAAGAAGUGCUAAAACUGCUCUGAUGAAGACCCUCAACUCUACACUUCCUCCCUUUCAGUUGGUGACAAGAUUGAGUCUGGAGGACACAU